UAUUCUGCCCCAUGGGGAAGGAUGAGAAGCUUCGACUAAGGUUCGACUCGAGCGAAGCGAGAGAACGUUGCCGCAGGCAACGGCCCGAAGGGCGAGGAGCGAUAGCGACGAGUUAUCCUUCCCCCACCACUG
This 132-nucleotide small RNA is filed under the name Klebsiella pneumoniae. RNAcentral describes it as "RtT sRNA". It matches the Rfam family "RtT RNA". Rfam says of the family: This family represents a bacterial cis-regulatory element known as RtT RNA. The exact function of RtT is unknown although it is thought that it may be involved in changing the cellular response in relation to amino acid starvation. The record is from RNAcentral. Lineage: Bacteria; Pseudomonadati; Pseudomonadota; Gammaproteobacteria; Enterobacterales; Enterobacteriaceae.